UCGUACCCCACAUUAAAGGCCUCUUAACAAAACAUGACCUUGGCAUCAUGAAAUUCCUCUAACACCUUAAAGCUCUCAACUGCUGAGCCUUCUCCCAUGCAAAAUCUGUCGAAGCCUUGAAAGCCUCCAUUGUCAUUUGACAGGCCUCAGCAAUUCGCCCCUCGGCCUCCUGCUUGGCGUGAGCAACUUGGUCCUCAGCCAUUUUUUCAAUCUAUGUGAUUUUGGCAAUGGCCUCCUGUAGCUCCUCCUCCUUCUGAACAAAAUCAGUGUUGGCUUUAUUCAGCACCUCUCUCAAGUGCUCAACCUCUCGCCUGACCACCUCGGUUUGUGCAUGCACCUCCACAGCAGUAGACUCGACCUGUUAGCAUAGACCUUUAUCAUCUCUACUCUGUGUGCGUGGUUCAAAAGGACGAUAAAAAAAUGGAGCAUCUGUGCAAAGGCCAUGUCAAGGAAGUAGAAGAAGAGGAAAGGAGAUGAAGAGAAAAAAAGGAAUAAAAGAAUAUGAAAAAGAACAAGGGAAGCACCUAAAGCAUGAUAGUCACAGAAUAUUGUUGUAAGUCAUCAAAAUCGAUGCUAUUAAUCCCCUUCAAUUCCAUGGAAAGGAUUGUUCUCUCAAUCAGCUCUCUAACAACCUUCCAAUCAUCAAAAGUCACAUCCUCAGGGAUCGAAGGAAGGUGAGAAUCCGGAUCAACUUGAUCUUCUGGGGGACUUAAUCUGCUUGGGCCAGCUACCAGAGAAGGUCGAUCCCAAUCUCUACAUGGGGAUGCAGGAGGGGUCAGAGCAUGAGCCACAGAUGGUUGAGAUGCUUGCACCUAAGUAGUAGGGAUGGAGGCCACAAUUGACGGAGAUGGGCCUAGGGGGUAGGGGUCGCCACCACAAUGGUGGCGUCGACCGUUGGGCUCACUCAGUCAAAGCUUCUUUUUGGCCGACCAUGGUGACCUUUGGCUUUUGGGAGGUACCUUUUGAUGCUGAAGCUUUCCCUUUUUUUAGAAUAUCUUGGCAAGAUCCUCAGGCCUCAUCUCUACAAUUAUCGAAAUAUGGUCGGAGACAGAAAAGGAAAGAAAUAAGAAAGAAGGAUGACUACACUACUCACCCCUAGGGUCGGCUUGACUAAGCCUCGUAUUAUAGAGGAUUUCAUCGGACAACAACUCAUCGACGGAGGAAACUUUGAAAUCCCUGAGGAUCUUAAAAUGACUCUCUUUCUCGGCCCCUAAUUUUGAAAUUUGGAAUGUUGAAGCUCCUUGCUGAUCCUAGCUCAGUAAGUUCCAAUCAUCUAUCGAGGAGCUUGAAACAAAUAGAAACUACUCCUUCCAUCCAUGAACGGAGGAAGGAGCACCCUUUAUCAAAGGAGAGAUCCUCCUCUGAAAAAAGAUGUACCAUCAGUUUUUAGCAUAAGGAUGCUUCUUGAUGGUGAAGAAAGAAUGAAAAAGAGAGACAGAUGCAGAUGACCAAGAAACCUACUACAUAUCUGUUGGAAAAAAUUUCGCACAGGUCGAUGAUAUGAAGAACCCCAAGGCCCAAGAUGUCUAAGCUUGAUAAGCUUGCUUGCUAUGCCUCUGUCGGCCUAUCCUCAGCCAUAAUCUUCAUUGCUUUAUCACCAACUAGUCCUCAACUUUUGCCCCAUUGACGCUCCACAGUCUGAGUAGAUGAAGACUCACCGACUGACGCUCGAUAACCCUCAUCUGGGAUCAUCGAUAUUUUCUUGAUGGCUGAUUCUUAUAGGCUAGGUUGAAGAGUCAUCGAUGCACUCAAAUGAUUGGCUCAGUCAGACCAGAUAAUGAUAUUCAAUCGAUCACAUCUGGUCGACCGGCCUUCCACUACCAAAUGGGCCCCA
This 1834-nucleotide long non-coding RNA is filed under the name Elaeis guineensis (African oil palm). Its description in RNAcentral is "long non-coding RNA (EGUI_LNC052257)". Lineage: Eukaryota; Viridiplantae; Streptophyta; Magnoliopsida; Arecales; Arecaceae. The record is from RNAcentral.